UAUUGGGCAAUGGCCGAGAGGCUGAACCAGCCAAGUCGCGUGAGGGAUGACGGCCCUACGGGUUGUAAACUUCUUUUGUCGGGGAGCANGACCCGCCCCGUGCAGGCGGAGCGAGAGUACCCGAAGAAAAAGCAUCGGCUAACUCCGUGCCAGCAGCCGCGGUAAUAAGGAGGAUGCGAGCGUUAUCCGGAUUUAUUGGGUUUAAAGGGUGCGCUGGCGGACCAUCAAGUCGGCGGUAAAGUCGUGGGGCCCAACCCCAUCCCGCCGUUGAAACUGGCGGUCUUGAGUGAGCGAGAAGUAUGCGGAAUGCGUGGUGUAGCGGUGAAAUGCAUAGAUAUCACGCAGAACUCCGAUUGCGAAGGCAGCAUACCGGCGCCCUACUGACGCUGAGGCACGAAAGCGUGGGUAUCGAACAGG
Molecule: ribosomal RNA, 417 nt
Filed under: uncultured bacterium
Lineage: Bacteria
Description: bacterial SSU rRNA
Rfam family: Bacterial small subunit ribosomal RNA
Source: RNAcentral